UACAGAGACCUCAAGCGUUAUCCGGAAUCAUUGGGCGUAAAGCGUACCGACAGGUGGUUGUAUAAGUCAGAUGUGAAAUACUCCGAGCUCAACUCGGAAUCUGUCAUUUGAAACUAUACGACUAGAGGGGCAAAGGAGGAAGCUGGAACGAACGGUGUAGUAGUGAAAUGGCGUUGAUAUCGUUCGGAACACCAAUAGCGAAGGCAAGGCUUCUGGGUGCCACCUGGACA
Molecule: ribosomal RNA, 230 nt
Filed under: uncultured bacterium
Lineage: Bacteria
Description: partial 16S ribosomal RNA
Rfam family: Bacterial small subunit ribosomal RNA
Source: RNAcentral